AACGAACGCUGGCGGCAGGCUUAACACAUGCAAGUCGAACGGAUGGGUGUAGCAAUACAUUUCAUCAGUGGCAGACGGGUGAGUAACACGUGGGAACCUUCCUCGUUGUACGGGACAACUCAGGGAAACUUGAGCUAAUACCGUAUAAGUCCGAGAGGAGAAAGAUUUAUCGCAAUGAGACGGGCCCGCGUCGGAUUAGCUAGUUGGUGGGGUAACGGCCUACCAAGGCGACGAUCCGUAGCUGAUCUGAGAGGAUGAUCAGCCACACUGGGACUGAGACACGGCCCAGACUCUACGGGAGGCAGCAGUGGGGAAUCUUGGACAAUGGCGCAAGCCUGAUCCAGCCAUGCCGCGUGAGUGAAGAAGGCC
Molecule: ribosomal RNA, 369 nt
Filed under: uncultured bacterium
Lineage: Bacteria
Description: bacterial SSU rRNA
Rfam family: Bacterial small subunit ribosomal RNA
Source: RNAcentral